Felis catus (domestic cat) is the source of this 988-nucleotide long non-coding RNA. RefSeq lists it as uncharacterized. The record is from RefSeq and is a predicted model, not a curated record. Lineage: Eukaryota; Metazoa; Chordata; Mammalia; Carnivora; Felidae. The transcript is spliced from 2 exons.
GGCAAGGGAGAUCAAUCUCGAAGCUUUCAAUUAGGAUCCUGUGGGCGGGGAAGAAGACUGGAGCUCGCAGGGAAGGAACUGGCUGAUAUUAUUAUUAUUUUUUUUUUGAUGCAGCAUUCCAGAAAACAUAAUCAAUGGCACCCGUCCAGUUCCCAUUUAGUAACCAAAGAACUAGCUGCAGCUGUUUUUUAUGCCUGGUGGUGCCAGUUUGAUAGUGUAUAAUCAUAUUUGCAUAAAGAUAAAAAGGAAGGUGUUAUAGAACACAGUUAAGCCUAUGGUUUCACCAUGAAUUAAAGGUAAUUUCAGACUAAUUAGGUAUAAUUUGUUAAGGAAUUCUUCCCAGCAAUGAUGACUCUGAUUUUGUAAUUACAGGACAAUGCUUACUGUGGCUUUCAAGGCUGGAGAAAGCACACCCGAGGGGGUCGUGUCCCACACUAGGCAGAUCUAAUGGUGCCACAAAAGACAGGUGUUUUGUCAGAUUUCAGCCACACACUUUCACACCUGCAACGCAUUAAGUACAGCAGCAAUGUUAAUGAAGACCAGGUGCCUGUUCCCCAACUUAAAUGAGAAACUGGCAUGAGGUUUGCUGUUUGCUACCUGACGUCUUCCUCCGUGUCUCUGAACACCGGCCCUCCAGUUGACUGGGAAAAUGAACUGGGUACGGCGGUUAUCCUCGCUGCCUGAGUCGCCUGUUGGUUCUCACCCUCCGAGAGUGGGGAAGACUCUUCCAGCCCCAAGUGUUUCUGGGUUUCUCUGCGGCUACCCCUUUUGUGCAGAGCUCAGCCUCCGGGAGUCCCGAAAAGAGCCUGAGCUGCACGAUUGGGCAAAAUGGGUUUCUGGAAAGUGCUGUGUUAUCAGCUGCUACCAGGGAAAGUUUGAUUGCAGCUACUUGAGUCUUUUCAAACUUGAAGUUUUGCCAUUCUGUCCGGAAAUGAGUAAUGGAGGCCUUGAGCAAGCUUUUUCAUUUUAAUAAAACACAAGGUUUUCA